Gasterosteus aculeatus aculeatus (three-spined stickleback) is the source of this 1176-nucleotide long non-coding RNA. Lineage: Eukaryota; Metazoa; Chordata; Actinopteri; Perciformes; Gasterosteidae. The record is from Ensembl.
GCUGCGUUCCGCGGCAGCUAAGCGGCCGGUCUACAGGCCGGUACGGUAGCGUUACGUAUCAUAUAAAAAUAACAAAAAAAAAAAAAAAACUUUUGACCAGCGGCCGUCAAAGUUCUUUGAUGGCUGCAAUGCACGUUGGAAUGGAGCGGUUGUCGAGAGUUAGCAGCCGUGGGACAGAGUACUUGGGCUUCAUGCCGGUCGCCGAAGGUGUUAGCCCGGAGCUAGCCGUUAGCCCGGAGCUAGCCGUUAGCCCGGAGCUAGCCGUUAGCCAAACACGGAGACGGGAAGACUCGUCCGGCACAGGGGAGAAGACGGUCCGUAUUGUGGCAGUGGGCGAGGCACGGAGGACGGGCGGGAGGCAGCCGACAGCCAGCUACCAACGGCAGAGGUAUCGGCUCGAGGCAAAAACCGGACCGGGACGGCUCGAUGGCUGCCCCGGGAGAAAAGUUAAAAACCUUUUGUUGCAGCGCUGGGACGAUGGAGAAAUCCGGGUGUUCGCCGCUGACAGCGGGAGGCGGCCAACAAUCCGCUGAUGUUGGAGGAGAUGUCGGGAGAUCGCGCUGAAGCUCCUCCAUCACCUGUCCAACAUACAAAUAAAGACAUUUGACAGCAUUGGGUAGGAGGUGGAAAUUUGCAUACAAGACAUUGUUUUGUGUGGUGCCAUGUUUUGAAUUAUGCUCAGUCAAUAAUGACUUACAUGUCCAAUGUCCUCUGGAAUUUUCUUGUGUCUGUCCUCCUCGCAAAAAGAAUCAAAUUCCAAAUCCAGGAGCUGAGAGACGGACUCACAGUUUGAGUUUUCUUCUUACACAAAGAUCGUAGGGUUCUGUAGUGCUCGGCCAUAGUUGCUGGACUGUCAGUGUCUGGAGCGUCAAUGCCUGCGGGCAUCUUAGCUGAAGGACAGAAAUAUACAUAAUUAAACACAUGGCAUUAAUUCAUAGAAAUUAGUAACUCUAGAAAGAAUAUGGUAGCAAUUAGUUUGAGUCUUCCAGUUUAUUAGUCCUCCAAACAAAAUAAGUGUAAAAUAUGAACACCACACAAUGGUAAAUUUGUAAAUGUUGGAACUCACGUCUGGCAUUGCUGCCUGAGUCCGGGGUGCUAGUCCCGUCAGAGGGGCAGUCUUAAAUGCUUGAAUGCUGCCCCCCUUUUGAGGGGAGAUCCAGAAUGACUGUUGAGUCA